CCUUCGAUAGCUCAGUUGGUAGAGCGGUGGACUGUAGAACGGACUAUCAAUGCUGUAAUCCAUAGGUCGCUGGUUCAAAUCCGGCUCGAAGGA
Non-coding RNA from Polyplax serrata (house mouse louse), 93 nucleotides. The record is from the annotation of a GenBank genome assembly. NCBI's taxonomy places the organism in Eukaryota, Metazoa, Arthropoda, Insecta, Psocodea, Polyplacidae.